AUUGAACGCUGGCGGCAGGCCUAACACAUGCGAGUCGAGCGGAUGAAGGGAGCUUGCUCCUGGAUUCAGCGGCGGACGGGUGAGUAAUGCCUAGGAAUCUGCCUGGUAGUGGGGGAUAACGUCCGGAAACGGGCGCUAAUACCGCAUACGUCCUGAGGGAGAAAGUGGGGGAUCUUCGGACCUCACGCUAUCAGAUGAGCCUAGGUCGGAUUAGCUAGUUGGUGGGGUAAAGGCCUACCAAGGCGACGAUCCGUAACUGGUCUGAGAGGAUGAUCAGUCACACUGGAACUGAGACACGGUCCAGACUCCUACGGGAGGCAGCAGUGGGCAAUAUUGGACAAUGGGCGAAAGCCUGAUCCAGCCAUGCCGCGUGUGUGAAGAAGGUCUUCGGAUUGUAAAGCACUUUAAGUUGGGAGGAAGGGCAGUAAGUUAAUACCUUGCUGUUUUGACGUUACCAACAGAAUAAGCACCGGCUAACUUCGUG
RNAcentral lists this ribosomal RNA (484 nucleotides) under uncultured bacterium. RNAcentral describes it as "partial 16S ribosomal RNA". It matches the Rfam family "Bacterial small subunit ribosomal RNA", at positions 30 to 507 of the family's 1533-position model. The record is from RNAcentral.